GAGUGAGAUGAUGGUAUACCAUCUUUCGGGACUGAAGCCUGAUGAUCCCUUUUUUAAUAUGCUGAUCACUC
This is a non-coding RNA of Pelobates cultripes (western spadefoot toad), 71 nucleotides long. The record is from the annotation of a GenBank genome assembly. NCBI's taxonomy places the organism in Eukaryota, Metazoa, Chordata, Amphibia, Anura, Pelobatidae.